GGAGACGCUGGCGGCGUGCCUAAUACAUGCAAGUCGAACGGUCUUUCUAUGGAAGCUUGCUUCCACUGAGAAGAUAGUGGCGAACGGGUGAGUAACACGUGGGUAACCUGCCCAUAAGAGGGGGAUAACAUCCGGAAACGGGUGCUAAUACCGCAUAGUUUUUCUUGAUCGCAUGAUUGAGAAAGGAAAGACGGCCUUUGUGCUGUCGCUUAUGGAUGGACCCGCGGCGUAUUAGUUAGUUGGUGAGGUAACGGCUCACCAAGACGAUGAUACGUAGCCGACCUGAGAGGGUGAUCGGCCACAUUGGGACUGAGACACGGCCCAAACUCCUACGGGAGGCAGCAGUAGGGAAUCUUCCGCAAUGGACGAAAGUCUGACGGAGCAACGCCGCGUGAGUGAAGAAAAGGUUUUCGGAUCGUAAAACUCUGUUGUCAGAGAAGAACAAGUUGGAGAGUAACUGCUCCAGCCUUGACGGUAUCUGACCAGAAAGCCACGGCUAACUACGUGCCAGCCGCAGC
Molecule: ribosomal RNA, 518 nt
Filed under: uncultured bacterium
Lineage: Bacteria
Description: bacterial SSU rRNA
Rfam family: Bacterial small subunit ribosomal RNA
Source: RNAcentral